GAGAUUAUUUCAGUUGACAUGAAUAACAAAAGACUAUUAAAAGAUUAACGGUAAGUGCAGAUUUAAUUUAAUAAAAAAAUAUAUUUUUCUGCUUUGUACAUGUUGUAUUAAUCUGAUGAGUAUAACCCUUUGCACCAGACAUUUUAUAGUGUAUUCACAUAUUGUAUUGUUAAACCACUGUAACAUGCUAGAGAAAGGUUGGACGCCUGCUAACUUGUUUGUUGCUGUAUGUCAUAUAUGUAUUUCGUAUGUUGUUUUCUACUUACAUAGUAUAUAUCAUUUGGCCUCUGGUGAAAAGUUGUUGCUCAGUCUUUAGUUUUCUAUGUUGUGUUUUAUUUACUAUUGUUUUUCUGGUUCUUUUUAUUUUUUUAAUGAUUUGACAUGGCGUUGUCAAUUUAUUUUCGACUUAUAAACCCAAACCACUUAGAAACCUAACGUCAUGGUAAAAAAAAAUGUAAUGUUUCGAAAGAAUUAACUCAAAAGUAAUUUAUAAUUAUUCGAAAUGGAUUUAAAAUUGUAUUGAUAAACUACUAAAUAUGUUUUUAAUAAUUACAGAAAUGAGCUGCGGAGUUCUUGUAUUGGUGACAAUUCUAACAGUUACAUUUUUUAUCCAGCUUAGUUUGAGCACAUGUGAUAGUCCUGUAUGUCACGGCUUAAUAAAUCCGAGUAAUGCAUAUAUAUUCAACACGGUACUAUGUGCUAGUGGGAUUGUAGCACUUGUUUCCUAUUUCAUUUUAUGGAAGAUAAACGAAAAUAAUGAAGAGGCCGUUCAGAUACGACAACACAAGGGUAAAACAGACAGC
This 803-nucleotide long non-coding RNA is filed under the name Mytilus galloprovincialis (Mediterranean mussel). Lineage: Eukaryota; Metazoa; Mollusca; Bivalvia; Mytilida; Mytilidae. The record is from RNAcentral.